Camelus dromedarius (Arabian camel) is the source of this 121-nucleotide small nuclear RNA. The record is from Ensembl. NCBI's taxonomy places the organism in Eukaryota, Metazoa, Chordata, Mammalia, Artiodactyla, Camelidae.
GUGCUGUAUGAAAGGAGAGAAGGUUAGCACUCCCCUUGACAAGGAAGAGGCCCUUGGGCCUGACAACACACAAGCAGUUAAGGCAUUGCCACCUACUUCUUUCAUCUAACCAUCGUUUUUU